UGGGGAAUUUUGGACAAUGGGCGCAAGCCUGAUCCAGCCAUGCCGCGUGCGGGGAGAAGGCCUUCGGGUUGUAAACCGCUUUUGUCAGGGAAGAAAUCUUCUGAGUUAAUACCUCGGGAGGAUGACGGUACCUGAAGAAUAAGCACCGGCUAACUACGUGCCAGCAGCCGCGGUAAUACGUAGGGUGCAAGCGUUAAUCGGAAUUACUGGGCGUAAAGCGUGCGCAGGCGGUUUUGUAAGACAGAGGUGAAAUCCCCGGGCUCAACCUGGGAACUGCCUUUGUGACUGCAAGGCUUGAGUGCGGCAGAGGGGGGAUGGAAUUCCGCGUGUAGCAGUGAAAUGCGUAGAUAUGCGGAGGAACACCGAUGGCGAAGGCAAUCCCCUGGGCCUGCACUGACGCUCAUGCACGAAAGCGUGGGGAGCAAACAGGAUUAGAUACCCUGGUAGUCCACGCCCUAAACGAUGUCAACUGGUUGUUGGGAAGGUUCCUUCUCAGUAACGUAGCUAACGCGUGAAGUUGACCGCCUGGGGAGUACGGCCGCAAGGUUG
This 549-nucleotide ribosomal RNA is filed under the name uncultured bacterium. RNAcentral's name for it is "partial 16S ribosomal RNA". It matches the Rfam family "Bacterial small subunit ribosomal RNA", at positions 355 to 896 of the family's 1533-position model. The record is from RNAcentral.